UGAGGAAUAUUGGACAAUGGGUGAGAGCCUGAUCCAGCCAUCCCGCGUGAAGGACGACGGCCCUAUGGGUUGUAAACUUCUUUUGUAUAGGGAUAAACCUACUCUCGUGAGAGUAGCUGAAGGUACUAUACGAAUAAGCACCGGCUAACUCCGUGCCAGCAGCCGCGGUAAUACGGAGGGUGCAAGCGUUAUCCGGAUUUAUUGGGUUUAAAGGGUCCGUAGGCUGAUUUGUAAGUCAGUGGUGAAAUCUCACAGCUUAACUGUGAAACUGCCAUUGAUACUGCAAGUCUUGAGUGUUGUUGAAGUAGCUGGAAUAAGUAGUGUAGCGGUGAAAUGCAUAGAUAUUACUUAGAACACCAAUUGCGAAGGCAGGUUACUAAGCAACAACUGACGCUGAUGGACGAAAGCGUGGGGAGCGAACAG
Molecule: ribosomal RNA, 423 nt
Filed under: uncultured bacterium
Lineage: Bacteria
Description: bacterial SSU rRNA
Rfam family: Bacterial small subunit ribosomal RNA
Source: RNAcentral